UGUUUGCGUGGCAAUCAAAAAACAGUUUUCCGAAUGCCGCCGAGAUCAGAAAGAGACAGACAAAGACACGCUUUGCCCCAUGCGGAGAGAUGUGAAGUCAAUGAUGUGUCGUGCAAUAAUGGAGUCACAUUUCUGCCUCAUUUGUGCGGCCAAAAACUCCCGGCAACUCGCAGCUCGUCUCCGCUCGCGCGCCUCGCCGCAUCCCGUCCGCGCACGCACAACCUCGCAAGCAGCCGUGACGCGCGGGAGGAGGGAGAACGCGGAGGUCAGAGAAAAAAGGAGGCUCCUGACGGAAGGAUGCAUGUGGGGGCAGAGACAAAGCACCUGGCUGAAAAGCACAGUGCAAAGCUGCGCUCCAGAGCCUGACUCACACACAUUACGCGCCAAUGCGGAGGAGGGAGAAAGUGCAUCGAGGCCUCAGACGAGACGACGGUGAAGAGGACGAGCGCGGCGCAGCGGGGACGAAGGACAGGAGGGGAGACGAGGGGAGAGAGGUCACCGACGCGGGAGACGCUG
Molecule: long non-coding RNA, 516 nt
Organism: Gasterosteus aculeatus aculeatus (three-spined stickleback)
Lineage: Eukaryota; Metazoa; Chordata; Actinopteri; Perciformes; Gasterosteidae
Source: Ensembl